UGGGGAAUAUUGGACAAUGGGCGCAAGCCUGAUGCAGCCAUGCCGCGUGUGUGAAGAAGGCCUUCGGGUUGUAAAGCACUUUCAGCGAGGAGGAAGGGUAGUGUGUUAAUAGCACAUUGCAUUGACGUUACUCGCAGAAGAAGCACCGGCUAACUCCGUGCCAGCAGCCGCGGUAAUACGGAGGGGGCAAGCGUUAAUCGGAAUUACUGGGCGUAAAGCGCACGCAGGCGGUUUGUUAAGUCAGAUGUGAAAUCCCCGCGCUUAACGUGGGAACUGCAUUUGAAACUGGCAAGCUAGAGUCUUGUAGAGGGGGGUAGAAUUCCAGGUGUAGCGGUGAAAUGCGUAGAGAUCUGGAGGAAUACCGGUGGCGAAGGCGGCCCCCUGGACAAAGACUGACGCUCAGGUGCGAAAGCGUGGGGAGCAAACA
RNAcentral lists this ribosomal RNA (427 nucleotides) under uncultured bacterium. RNAcentral's name for it is "partial 16S ribosomal RNA". It matches the Rfam family "Bacterial small subunit ribosomal RNA", at positions 355 to 774 of the family's 1533-position model. The record is from RNAcentral.